RNAcentral lists this ribosomal RNA (431 nucleotides) under uncultured bacterium. RNAcentral's name for it is "bacterial SSU rRNA". It matches the Rfam family "Bacterial small subunit ribosomal RNA", at positions 95 to 504 of the family's 1533-position model. The record is from RNAcentral.
GUGGCGCACGGGCGAGUAACGCGUGGGAAAUCUGCCUCAGUAUGGGGGAUAACAGUCCUAACGGACUGCUAAUACCGCAUAAUAUGGUCGGAUGGCAUCAUUGGACCAUCAAAGGUGGGGAUCGAAAGACCUGCCGUAUUGAGAGGAUCCCGCGUCCCAUUAGCUAGUUGGUAGGGUAACGGCCUACCAAGGCUCCGAUGGGUAGCUGGUCUGAGAGGACGACCAGCCACACUGGGACUGAGACACGGCCCAGACUCCUACGGGAGGCAGCAGUCGAGAAGCUUCGGCAAUGGGGGAAACCCUGACCGAGCGACGCCGCGUGGAGGAUGAAGGCCUUCGAGGUCGUAAACUCCUGUCAUGAGGGAAGAAAGUGUUCAGGUUAAUACCCUGAAUGCGUGACGGUACCUCAGGAGGAAGCUCCGGCUAACUCC